GAUGAAGAACGUAGCAAAAUGCGAUAAGUAAUGUGAAUUGCAGAAUUCAGUGAAUCAUCGAAUCUUUGAACGCACAUUGCGCCCGCUGGUAUUCCGGCGGGCAUGCCUGUUCGAGCGUCAUUUCAACCCUCAAGCCCCCGGGUUUGGUGUUGGGGAUCGGCUCUGCCCUUCUGGGCGGUGCCGCCCCCGAAAUACAUUGGCGGUCUCGCUGUAGCCUCCAUUGCGUAGUAGCUAACACCUCGCAACUGGAACGCGGCGCGGCCAUGCCGUAAAACCCCAACUUCUGAAUGUUGACCUCGGAUCAGGUAGGAAUACCCGCUGAACUUAAGCAUAUCAAUAAGCGGAGGA
RNAcentral lists this unclassified non-coding RNA (348 nucleotides) under soil metagenome. RNAcentral describes it as "partial contains 5.8S ribosomal RNA, internal transcribed spacer 2, and large subunit ribosomal RNA". The stretch from base 1 to 120 matches the Rfam family "5.8S ribosomal RNA", at positions 35 to 154 of the family's 154-position model. The record is from RNAcentral.